This 499-nucleotide long non-coding RNA is filed under the name Gallus gallus (chicken). The record is from RNAcentral. Lineage: Eukaryota; Metazoa; Chordata; Aves; Galliformes; Phasianidae.
AAAUUUCACUGUGACCAGAGUCUGAAAAGUUAUCCACUGUGCCACUGGGAGCCAAAGCGUAACCUUUCCUUGGAGAACUCUGUGGUGAGGUGGGAGGAGAAGACAGAUGUGAAGAUGCGCUUGAUACUGUGUCUUCAGAUUGUUUCUUGUGGCGGUCCAGACUUCCUUCUUCAGAUAAUGAAAGAAUUUUCUUUAAAGCUUGUGGGGAGUUAAUGCCAAAUGGUGGGAGGUCUUUGACGGGCACUUUCUUGCGAGAGGGAUAAAGAGAUACAGCAGGGACCUGCAGUGCUUGGUUUACUUUAUAUUGCUGCUGCUGCUGCACUUUCUGCUGAAUUCCUGCCCGGGGAGCCACCGGUGAUGUUUCAGAUUUUCCAGAUCGCUUGUCUCCUGUAUUCUUUGGCAAUGUGUUGGUGGCUGGCUCACACUGUAGAGACAGAGUCUGGAGGCUUUCUUCAUCCAUUUCCAGAUCCAAGUUUGAGAGAUACUGCUUUACUUUCCG